RNAcentral lists this ribosomal RNA (397 nucleotides) under uncultured bacterium. RNAcentral describes it as "bacterial SSU rRNA". It matches the Rfam family "Bacterial small subunit ribosomal RNA", at positions 30 to 433 of the family's 1533-position model. The record is from RNAcentral.
AUUGAACGCUGGCGGCAUGCUUUACACAUGCAAGUCGAACGGGGUUGGGAGCUUGCUUCCAAUCUAGUGGCGAACGGGUGAGUAAUACAUCGGAACGUACCGUGUGGUGGGGAUAACGUAGCGAAAGUUACGCUAAUACCGCAUACGAUCCACGGAUGAAAGCAGGGGACCUUCGGGCCUUGUGCUAUACGAGCGGCCGAUGUCUGAUUAGCUAGUUGGUGAGGUAAAGGCUCACCAAGGCGACGAUUAGUAGCGGGUCUGAGAGGAUGAUCCGCCACACUGGGACUGAGACACGGCCCAGACUCCUACGGGAGGCAGCAGUGGGGAAUUUUGGACAAUGGGCGCAAGCUUGAUCCAGCCAUGCCGCGUGUCUGAAGAAGGCCUUCGGUGUAAGGAC